CCUACGUGAGGCAGCAGUGAGGAAUAUUUGACAAUGGGCGAGAGCCUGAACCAGCCAAGUCGCGUGAGGGAAGAAGGUCCUAUGGAUUGUAAACCUCUUUUGCCGGGGAGCAAAAAGCGGUACGUGUACCGCAACGAGAGUACCCAGACAAAAAGCAUCGGCUAAUGCCGUGCCAGCAGCCGCCGUAAUAAGGAGGAUGCGUGCGUUCUCCGGAUUUAUUGGGUUAAAGGGGUGCGCAGGCGACGAGUUAAGUUAGCGGUAAAAGUUCGGGGCUAAACCCCGCCACGCCGUUGAAACUGGCUUGCUAGAGUGGGCGAGAAGUAUGCGGAAUGCGUGGUGUAGCGGUGAAAUGCAUAGAUAUCACGCAGAACUCCGAUUGCGAAGGCAGCAUACCGGCGCCCAACUGACGCUCAGGCACGAAAGCGUGGGUAUCGAACAGGAUUAGAUACCCUAGUAGUC
Molecule: ribosomal RNA, 459 nt
Filed under: uncultured bacterium
Lineage: Bacteria
Description: partial 16S ribosomal RNA
Rfam family: Bacterial small subunit ribosomal RNA
Source: RNAcentral